GAUGGUUGUUGGUUAUUUAUGGAGAUUGUUUGUGGUUUGUUAGUAUCCAUGGUCAAAGAAGAAACAAAAGAAAAGAAAUUAGAUUUAGGGAUCUUCCUAAUUCCUCUCACCCCUCUAUUGUUUCUUUCAUAUCUAGUGUUAGGAGGUAAAACCAGGGGAAAAGGUGGGAAUAAAAAGAACUCAAAGUAGCAAAGACUAGCCACCAGUAUCUACCACCAAUGCUCUUCAAUAUAUUCUGUAAGGAAUAAAAUCACCUCAGCCGAUUGGCAUUUCUGUUGACAUAUGGAGGUCAGCAGUGGGAUGUUCUGGCAUUGAGAAUUGCCAUGCACUGAUGGUUGCUGGUGCUGGGGAUUGUUAGCAUCUACAAUCUUCAUUGGUCCAUACAGAAUCUAUACAUGACUUAAAAUCUUACUAUGUUCCAAAGCUUGGAGCAAAAGGAAAUACAAACACUGAAAGUAUGAAACUCAAAAUACCAUAAAGAAAACAGCUAAAGAAGGAAUUGUAUUUCAUCUUGAUGUGAACUGAAAUGGACGUGGAUAUACCCUGGAGUCGGUUAUUAAUUCAGACAGAGGAGGCCACCAUCAACUGAUCUUUACAACUGAUCUUUGAAGGACGUGAGCGUGAAGCUAACUUUGGUUUUACUUGGCUAAAGUGUUUCAUUGACAAGAA
This 669-nucleotide long non-coding RNA is filed under the name Mus caroli (Ryukyu mouse). RNAcentral's name for it is "predicted gene 11820 (MGP_CAROLIEiJ_G0005812.1)". The record is from RNAcentral. Lineage: Eukaryota; Metazoa; Chordata; Mammalia; Rodentia; Muridae.